GACGAACGCUGGCGGCGUGCUUAACACAUGCAAGUCGAACGGUAAGGCCCUUCGGGGUACACGAGUGGCGAACGGGUGAGUAACACGUGGGUGAUCUGCCCUGCACUUCGGGAUAAGCCUGGGAAACUGGGUCUAAUACCGGAUAGGACCACUGCCUGCAUGGGUGGUGGUGGAAAGCUUUUGCGGUGUGGGAUGGGCCCGCGGCCUAUCAGCUUGUUGGUGGGGUGAUGGCCUACCAAGGCGACGACGGGUAGCCGGCCUGAGAGGGUGACCGGCCACACUGGGACUGGGAUACGGCCCGGACUCCUACGGGAGGCAGCAGUGGGGAAUAUUGCACAAUGGGCGCAAGCCUGAUACAGCGACGCCGCGUGAGGGAUGACGGCCUUCGGGUUGUAAACCUCUUUCAGCACCGACGAAGCGCAAGUGACGGUAGGUGCAGAAGAAGGACCGGCCAACUACGUGCCAGCCGCCGCGGUAA
Molecule: ribosomal RNA, 478 nt
Filed under: uncultured bacterium
Lineage: Bacteria
Description: partial 16S ribosomal RNA
Rfam family: Bacterial small subunit ribosomal RNA
Source: RNAcentral